This 403-nucleotide ribosomal RNA is filed under the name uncultured bacterium. RNAcentral's name for it is "partial 16S ribosomal RNA". It matches the Rfam family "Bacterial small subunit ribosomal RNA", at positions 30 to 526 of the family's 1533-position model. The record is from RNAcentral.
AUUGAACGCUGGCGGCAGGCCUAACACAUGCAAGUCGAGCGAGCGGCGGACGGGUGAGUAAUGUAUGGGGACUGCCCGAUAGAGGGGGAUAACUACAGGAAACGGUGGCUAAUAACGCAUACUGUAGGAUAACACAUAUGGGAUUAGCUAGUAGGUAAGGUAAUGGCUUACCUAGGCGACGAUCCCUCGCUGGUCUGAGAGGAUGAUCAGCCACACUUGGACUGAGACACGGCCCAGACUCCUACGGAGGAAGCAGUGGGGAAUAUUGCAAAAUGGGCGCAAGCCUGAUGCAGCCAUGCCGCGUGAGUGAUGACGGCCUUCGGGUUGUAAAGCUCUGUUAAUCGGGAGACGGUACCGGAAUAGAAAGCCACGGCUAACUACGUGCCAGCAGCCGCGGUAAUAC